AAUGGAGGAAACUCUGAUGCAGCAACGCCGCGUGGAGGACGAAGGUUUUCGGAUUGUAAACUCCUGUCUUUUGGGACGAUAAUGACGGUACCAAAAGAGGAAGCCACGGCUAACUACGUGCCAGCAGCCGCGGUAAUACGUAGGGGGCUAGCGUUAUCCGGAAUUACUGGGCGUAAAGGGUGCGUAGGUGGUUUCUUAAGUCAGAGGUGAAAGGCUACGGCUCAACCGUAGUAAGCCUUUGAAACUGGGAAACUUGAGUGCAGGAGAGGAGAGUGGAAUUCCUAGUGUAGCGGUGAAAUGCGUAGAUAUUAGGAGGAACACCAGUUGCGAAGGCGGCUCUCUGGACUGUAACUGACACUGAGGCACGAAAGCGUGGGGAGCAAA
Molecule: ribosomal RNA, 384 nt
Filed under: uncultured bacterium
Lineage: Bacteria
Description: bacterial SSU rRNA
Rfam family: Bacterial small subunit ribosomal RNA
Source: RNAcentral